RNAcentral lists this microRNA precursor (61 nucleotides) under Pristionchus pacificus. RNAcentral describes it as "mir-8364 microRNA precursor family". It matches the Rfam family "mir-8364 microRNA precursor family". The record is from Rfam by way of RNAcentral. Lineage: Eukaryota; Metazoa; Nematoda; Chromadorea; Rhabditida; Neodiplogasteridae.
UCUUCAUCUCACACACUCUCUCGCCUCUCCGACCGGUGAGAGAGUGUGUGGAAUGAAGAGA